This 465-nucleotide ribosomal RNA is filed under the name uncultured bacterium. RNAcentral describes it as "partial 16S ribosomal RNA". It matches the Rfam family "Bacterial small subunit ribosomal RNA", at positions 28 to 507 of the family's 1533-position model. The record is from RNAcentral.
GACGAACGCUGGCGGCGUGCUUAACACAUGCAAGUCGAGCGGUAAGGCCCCUUCGGGGUUACACGAGCGGCGAACGGGUGAGUAACACGUGAGCAAUCUACCCAUCACAUCGGGAUAACUCCGGGAAACCGAAGCUAAUACCGAAUACGACCACCUCCGGCAUCGGAUGGUGGUGGAAAGUUCCGGCGGUGGUGGAUGAGCUCGCGGCCUAUCAGCUUGUUGGUGGGGUAACGGCCCACCAAGGCUUCGACGGGUAGCCGGCCUGAGAGGGUGACCGGCCACACUGGGACUGAGACACGGCCCAGACUCCUACGGGAGGCAGCAGUGGGGAAUAUUGGACAAUGGGCGAAAGCCUGAUCCAGCAACGCCGCGUGAGGGAUGACGGCCUUCGGGUUGUAAACCUCUUUCAGCAGGGACGAAGCGCAAGUGACGGUACCUGCAGAAGAAGCACCGGCCAACUACGUG